GCUUCUCCAGAGUCUGGGAUCUUUGGUGCACGUAUAGGUAGGGGCCGGGAACCGGAAGGGCUUGGCUGCCUGGCGAACGGACGCACGGUCUUAAGCCAGGGGAUGACAAGGCCUUGUCAGCAAGGGAACCAGAGACAUUGGGGUAUAUUACAUUCGUGCUGCUCAGGAUGCAGGCCUAGCAUCCUGUUGGAUCAGCUCACCAAUGAGAAUCACGACACCCAUUUCCUUUUCCUGCUUCUGCACUUCAUUCCUUGGUCAGCUUUGUAGCUACCCUGUGCCUCAGUUUACCGGACUCUCAGAUGACUGUGAUCGUAACAGUUGUGCGUUCUCUUCGGUAAUGAUUUCUGAGGACGAGAUUGGUUCAGAUGAAAUAUCUGUGCGGUCAGAUGUAUUUUUUUGGAACAGUUGUCUCAGUGGUUGCCUGUUUUGUUCUGUGUCUUCAGCACAGUGGGUAUGAAUCUAACUACAAUCCUAUUUUCUACCUUUGGGGUUCAGCCUCAGGUAGUUGCCGUUCCAUGGGAUGGCAAUAAUAACAUCUAUAGCGACGUUUUGUUUUGUCAUUUGUUAUAUGCAUUUAUUUAUUGUCAUUUAUUACAAGCAUUUAUUACAUGUCAGUUUCAGCGUUAAGUUCGUAAAAUUUAUAUUUCAUAUUCUUACUGCAGCAGAUUUCAAGAUAGAUAUUAUGCAGAUGGAGUAUCAACAGCCCUGUUUUACAGGCAAAGCCUUGAGGUUCAGAAGAAUUGAGUGUUUUUCUCUCUCAUUCCCCAAAUCAAGUCCUGUUGAUUUGUUUAAAUACGUCGGUAAACCGGUCCAUUUUUUCAAUCUCUGUCACCUUGGACCAAGCUACCAUUAUGUCUUUAAUGGAUUGUUGCAUCAGGCUCCUUACUGGUCUGCACUCACUCUACACACUAACACUCCUUUCUCCCCUCAUCCCCUUUCUCCCACACAGCCAGUCUCUUCUGCACACUAUGGAGUGUGAUCUUUUCAAAAUGCAAAUCUGAUCAUGUCCCUUUCCUUCCUCCCUCCUCUGCCAACCACCUGUUUAAAAGUUUUCCAUGACUUCCUGUUGUUCUCAAGAGAGAGACAGAACUUCACAUGGCCUAUGAUGGUCUGGACAUCCCACAUGACAUUCUGCCCGCUCUUUGCCCAUCAGCCACGUUGGCCUUUUUAAAAGGCCCUCUUUUCUGCUCUCUCUGGUUACAUAGCCUUUACACAUGCUAUUAUGUUGCCUACUCUAUAUUAGGCAAAUAUUAGAAGUGAGAACCAAUUAUAAAUAUAACACACAGUUCUUGCUCUUGUAGAAUUUCAAAUCCUACAAGUGAGUUUGUCUUAGGGAAUACUUCUAUGGAUUUAAAAUAUAAAAUCUGCCCUAUAAUGACCUGAGUUAUGACCAGGUUGCACUGGGGACCUGAAGUUUCCAUGCUAGGGUCUGCCUGUGAUAUGGACAGAAUACUGAAGAUGGGUUCCACGGGGGGAAAGGGAGGGGAAGGGAAGAUUCUUUUGCAUUAGUCCGCAACAGUGUAAAGGAAGAGAGAAAUGUCAUCCAGUGGCAUUGUGUAUGAUGUCUUUCUCACCUUUUAGCUUUACAUUUGUGUUAUCCAUCUAUUCUGUUAAGAUUUAUUGAGCACCUAUUAUUUAUUUGCUAGACACUGGGAUUAUGACUUUAGCUAAGAUAGAAUCUGUGCACAAAGAAGCUUUUACUCUACUGAAACCAUAACCGUUGCCUGUGAGAUAGUUAUCCAUGUCUUCCACAUUUUACAGAUGUGGAAACCAAGGCUUAAGGAAAUCAUGACUUGCCCAAGGCCACUUGGUUGCUAUGUGGAACUAGGGCUCAGAACCAGGUCUAUCAGACUCAAAGCUUUUUUCCAUUUUCUGCUGGUGAAACAUGUUGAAUUGAUAGAGCAAAUUGUCUUCCUGUUUUCUUUAAAGAAGUUCUUUGAUAUUUAUUUCAAAUUUGCUUAUGACAGUAUCAUUGGUUAGAACAAAGUAUAGGCAAUUGAGUUUUAAAUCUUAAAUAGGAAAUGUUCAGUUACUCAUGACCUUUCUCAUUUUCUAAUCAACUUUAUUGAGGCGUAAUUUACGUACAAUAAUUUGCACCCGUUUAUAAUGUACAAUUUGAUGAGUUUGACAGGUGUAUACACCUGCAAAACCACCAUCAUAGUUGACAUAGAGAACAUUUCAGUCCCUUCUAGAAACUUCCUCUUGCUGAUUUGCGGUCAGUGUCUUCCCCCACCUUGGCUCCCAAGCAACCACUGAUAAUGUUUUCUUUUGCUGUAGAUGAGUCCAUAUUUUCUAGAAUUUCAUACCAAUGGAAACAUACGGUAUGAACUCUUGAGUCUGUCUAUUUUCACUAAGCAUAAUGAUUUUUGAGACUUAUUCAUGUUGUCAUGUACAUCAAUAGUUCAUUCCUUUUUAUUGCUGAGUGAUAGUCUACUGUGUGGAUUUACCACAUAUUGUUUAUUCAUUCACCUGUUGCUGAAGAACAUUUGAAUUGUUUCUGGUGUGGGGCUGUUAUGUAAAAAAUGCUGCUGUGACUGUUCCUGUAUAAAUCUUUGUCUUUCUUUCUAUUGGGUAAACACUCAGAAUUCCAAUUGUUGAGUUCUCUGUUUAGCCUUCUAAGAAACUGCCAAAGUGAUUCUGCCAUUUGUGUUAGUUUUCUAGUGCGGCUGGAACAAGUUACCACAAACCUGGUGUCUUAAAACAAAUUAAUACUCUCUUAGUUCUAAAGGUAAGUCUGGAUGCAAGGUUUUGACAGGUUAUGGUCCCUCUGGAGGCUCUAGGGGAGAACCCUUCCUUGCCUCUUGUAGCUUCUGGUGAUUCCUGGCAUUUCUUGGUUUGGGCAACUUAACUUUAUUUGGCUUCUGUGUUCCCCCGGCCACCUUCUCUGUGUUUCUGUGUGUCAAAUCUCCCC
Neofelis nebulosa (Clouded leopard) is the source of this 2911-nucleotide long non-coding RNA. RefSeq lists it as uncharacterized. Lineage: Eukaryota; Metazoa; Chordata; Mammalia; Carnivora; Felidae. The transcript has 3 exons. The record is from RefSeq and is a predicted model, not a curated record.